UACGGGGGGGCAAGCGUUGUUCGGAAUUACUGGGCGUAAAGGCUCGUAGGCGGCCAACUAAGUCGGAUGUGAAAUCCCCAAGCUUAACUUGGGAACUGCAUCCGAUACUGGAUGGCUUGAAUCCGGGAGAGGGAUGCAGAAUUCCAGGUGUAGCGGUGAAAUGCGCAGAUAUACAGGAGGAACACCGGUGGCGAAGGCGGGUCUCUGGGCCGAUACUGACGCUGGAGGAGCGAAAGCGUUGGGGAGCGAACAGGAUUAGAAACCCCU
Molecule: ribosomal RNA, 267 nt
Filed under: uncultured bacterium
Lineage: Bacteria
Description: partial 16S ribosomal RNA
Rfam family: Bacterial small subunit ribosomal RNA
Source: RNAcentral